UGCGCAGGCGGUCAAGUGUGUGAGGCGUGAAAGCCCGGGGCUUAACCCCGGAAUUGCACCUCAAACUGCAUGACUAGAGUACUGGAGAGGGUAACGGAAUUCACGGUGUAGCAGUGAAAUGCGUAGAUAUCGUGAGGAACACCAGAGGCGAAGGCGGUUACCUGGACAGUUACUGACGCUCAGGCACGAAAGCGUGGGGAGCAAAAGGGAUUAGAUACCCCUGUAGUCCACGCCCUAAACGGUGCACACUAGGUCUUGGCGGAUUCGACCCCAUCAGGGCCCAAGCUAACGCGUUAAGUGUGCCGCCUGAGGACUACGGCCGCAAGGCUAAA
RNAcentral lists this ribosomal RNA (332 nucleotides) under uncultured bacterium. RNAcentral describes it as "bacterial SSU rRNA". It matches the Rfam family "Bacterial small subunit ribosomal RNA", at positions 568 to 898 of the family's 1533-position model. The record is from RNAcentral.